Molecule: ribosomal RNA, 426 nt
Filed under: uncultured bacterium
Lineage: Bacteria
Description: partial 16S ribosomal RNA
Rfam family: Bacterial small subunit ribosomal RNA
Source: RNAcentral
GUUAGGAAUUUUCCGCCAUGGGCGAAAGCCUGACGGAGCAAUGCCGCGUGACGGAUGAAGGACUAUGGGUUGUAAACUUCUUUUCUCAGAAAAGAAUUAUGACGGUAUAUGAGGAAUAAGCAUCGGCUAUCUCUGUGCCAGCAGCCGCGGUAAGACAGAGGAUGCAAGCGUUAUCCGGAAUGAUUGGGCGUAAAGCGGCUGUAGGUUGUUUAAAAAGUAUUCUGUCAAAGAUUAGGGCUUAACCCUAGAUAGGCAGAAUAAACUUUUAAGCUAGAGUUUGGUAGAGGCAGAGGGAAUUCCCGGUGGAGCGGUGAAAUGCGUAGAUAUCGGGAGGAACACCAAAGGCGAAGGCACUCUGCUGGGCCAAUACUAACACUGAGAGACGAAAGCGAGGGGAGCAAAUGGGAUUAGAUACCCGGGUAGUCC